RNAcentral lists this ribosomal RNA (468 nucleotides) under uncultured bacterium. RNAcentral's name for it is "partial 16S ribosomal RNA". It matches the Rfam family "Bacterial small subunit ribosomal RNA", at positions 30 to 523 of the family's 1533-position model. The record is from RNAcentral.
AUUGAACGCUGGCGGCGUGCCUAACACAUGCAAGUCGAGCGAUUCUCUUCGGAGGAGAGCGGCGGACGGGUGAGUAACGCGUGGGUAACCUGCCCUGUACACACGGAUAACAUACCGAAAGGUAUGCUAAUACGGGAUAAUAUGCUUUAGUCGCAUGGCUAAAGUAUCAAAGCUCCGGCGGUACAGGAUGGACCCGCGUCUGAUUAGCUAGUUGGUAAGGUAACGGCUUACCAAGGCGACGAUCAGUAGCCGACCUGAGAGGGUGAUCGGCCACAUUGGAACUGAGACACGGUCCAAACUCCUACGGGAGGCAGCAGUGGGGAAUAUUGCACAAUGGGCGAAAGCCUGAUGCAGCAACGCCGCGUGAGCGAUGAAGGCCUUCGGGUCGUAAAGCGCUGUCCUCAAGGAAGAUAAUGACGGUACUUGAGGAGGAAGCCCCGGCUAACUACGUGCCAGCAGCCGCCGCCG